AACGAACGCUGGCGGCAUGCCUAACACAUGCAAGUCGAACGAGACCUUCGGGUCUAGUGGCGCACGGGGGCGUAACGCGUGGGAACCUGCCCUUAGGUUCGGAAUAACUCCCCGAAAGGGGUGCUAAUACCGGAUAAUGUCUUCGGACCAAAGAUUUAUCGCCUUUGGAUGGGCCCGCGUUGGAUUAGCUAGUUGGUAGGGUAAAAGCCUACCAAGGCGACGAUGCAUAGCUGGUCUGAGAGGAUGAUCAGCCACACUGGGACUGAGACACGGCCCAGACUCCUACGGGAGGCAGCAGUGGGGAAUAUUGGACAAUGGGCGAAAGCCUGAUCCAGCAAUGCCGCGUGAGUGAUGAAGGCCUUAGGGUUGUAAAGCUCUUUUACCCGGGAUGAUAAUGACAUUACCGGGAGAAUAAGCUCCGGCUAACUCCGUG
Molecule: ribosomal RNA, 433 nt
Filed under: uncultured bacterium
Lineage: Bacteria
Description: partial 16S ribosomal RNA
Rfam family: Bacterial small subunit ribosomal RNA
Source: RNAcentral